This is a long non-coding RNA of Aricia agestis (brown argus), 402 nucleotides long. RefSeq lists it as uncharacterized. The transcript has 3 exons. NCBI's taxonomy places the organism in Eukaryota, Metazoa, Arthropoda, Insecta, Lepidoptera, Lycaenidae. The record is from RefSeq and is a predicted model, not a curated record.
UUAUAUAUAAAUAAGUGCUGGUAGUUUAUAGGUAAACUAUGAAAGAGUGUGUGCUAUGUAAAACUCGUUACCAAAAGGGAAGUGGGGUUACAUUUCACAAGUUUCCGUCAGACACACAAAAACUGGAAUUAUGGUUGCAAAAUAUUAAAAAGCCUGGUUGGCAUCCAAAAAAAUAUGAUUACGUCUGUUCAAAACACUUUUCUGAUGACUGUUUUAUUAAACAUACCUCAUACACUACUUUGAAAAAGUGCAGUAAACCUACAAUGUUCUGUAGCAGUGCCACAAACGUAUCUUCAACACAUGAAAGUAUAGUUUUUCCAACACCUGAAACAGGGAAGGUUACCUCCACACUCCCUGUGCCUGAAACAAUAGCUGUUUAUGUUAAAAGAGAAAUUAUUACAG